UACGAAGGGGGCUAGCGUUGUUCGGAAUUACUGGGCGUAAAGCGCACGUAGGCGGAUACUUAAGUCAGGGGUGAAAUCCCGGGGCUCAACCCCGGAACUGCCUUUGAUACUGGGUAUCUCGAGUCCGGAAGAGGUGAGUGGAAUUCCGAGUGUAGAGGUGAAAUUCGUAGAUAUUCGGAGGAACACCAGUGGCGAAGGCGGCUCACUGGUCCGGUAUUGACGCUGAGGUGCGAAAGCGUGGGGAGCAAACAGG
Molecule: ribosomal RNA, 253 nt
Filed under: uncultured bacterium
Lineage: Bacteria
Description: partial 16S ribosomal RNA
Rfam family: Bacterial small subunit ribosomal RNA
Source: RNAcentral